This 174-nucleotide ribosomal RNA is filed under the name Dilophotopsis concolor. Its description in RNAcentral is "partial 18S ribosomal RNA". It matches the Rfam family "Eukaryotic small subunit ribosomal RNA", at positions 1662 to 1831 of the family's 1831-position model. The record is from RNAcentral. Lineage: Eukaryota; Metazoa; Arthropoda; Insecta; Hymenoptera; Mutillidae. RNAcentral also lists the same sequence under 7 other names.
GUACACACCGCCCGUCGCUACUACCGAUUGAAUGAUUUAGUGAGGUCUUCGGACUGGUGCGCGGCAAUGUCUCGGCAUUGCCGAUGUUGCCGGGAAGAUGACCAAACUUGAUCAUUUAGAGGAAGUAAAAGUCGUAACAAGGUUUCCGUAGGUGAACCUGCGGAAGGAUCAUUA